GUAAAGGAUUAUUUAAGUUUAACGUUUAAGUACGAUAAUAUUUUCGCGUGGUCGGGUUCCUCGCGAGACCACGAUCCGUGUCCGUGGCGCAUCGACUCGCGACUUGUAACGAGCUAUUUUUACGCCUAGUGUCUACCUGCCAUGUACACAACUCUUGAAACUUUUGUUAAUCACUUUCUUCGUCGCUUGUUUCGCGAACGAGCUGUGAUCGCAUGCCAAACUUUCCUCGUACUUGACAUGCAGUUCAACCACCCAACCGUCUAUUCAACUGUGAAAUAUGUCGAAAAUAUCUAUAUCGCUAUAUCGGUUUAUUUCCGUUCGUGUCCCUUAUAUCUGUACAAAACAAGAAUUUCACGGUCCUCCAAGGGUUAGGAUAGGUUGUUUAAGGUUGAACUUGAAAUCCGUCGAUAUAUCGAUGCAUUUCUCGGAGAAAAUGUGAAAGGCUGUUCGAGCAGUCUGGUCUCCGAUGGAAAUUGACCUCCUUUCGGUGUUUCCAGUUUCCAAGCAUCAUCCGUGGCCGUGUACCCUGGCCACGAAACGCAUCAAACCAGAGAGAUUAAAAGAUAAAGGACGUUUUGUAAUAGCUGUAUCGAAUUGUUUAGAUUGGGUGUCGCUAAAUGUUACAAUAUAGUAUAAUAUAAUCCCCGUCGAAUUGUCACGAUGAUUCUCGGAGAUGGAGUGAAAGUAGUGCAGCGAAGAAGACUAGUCGAUUUGAAAAGGAGCGUUUUACUAUCGAAUGCGAUCUCGUUCAAAAGAAGAAAGAAAAAAACAAACUUUCUAGUGGAAUGCGCGUGAUCGACACGGUACCUGGAACUUUCUCGCAGCACCAUUUGUUUUCGUUGACGCUUCGGGUCACGCGAAUUUCUGAAUGCGAACGAAACGCAAACAUCGAAUCUGCUUUUCAGUCUGAUGUAUCGCUAUUACUAUUACUAUUAUUACUCGUAUUUUUAUCUUUCAUAUCUCUGGUACUGUGCGUGUAGAAUGUUGCGACUCAACGUUAAUGGAAAGGUUUAUCGACUCUGGCCAACUUGUACCAGCCUAUCAGUCUCUCGUGUUGGUUCUUUCGAUCUUUCAUCGAUUAAAACUUUCACUCGAGCUAAUUAUUAUAACUUUUUACGGCAAAUAAAGCUAUCUUUUCUUU
Molecule: long non-coding RNA, 1141 nt
Organism: Hylaeus anthracinus
Lineage: Eukaryota; Metazoa; Arthropoda; Insecta; Hymenoptera; Colletidae
Exons: 3
Source: RefSeq, a predicted model, not a curated record